AUCUGCCAUAAGGCCAUCCACCAUAAUCCCAUCCUCCACAAUGUCAUCGUCACAAUGCCAUCCACCAUAAUGCCAUCCACCAUAAUGCUAUCUGCCAUAAGGGCCUUACCAGAGACAAGACAAUGCCAGUGCCAGGCCAAUGCUAGUACCAUGCCCUGAACCUCCACAACUGUGAGUUAAAUACAUCUCUUUUCCUUAAAAAGUAUCCAGGCUAAACUAUUUUAUUAGAGUAGCUAAAAACAGACAAAUACAACAGAUAAACAGAUAUUGAGAUUGUCAAAGACUUAAAAAUAUACACCUAUAUUCCAUGAAAUAAAGAUAAACACUACAAGGGAAUGAAAAGAGAGAGCUUCUCAGCACAAGAACAGAAACUACAAAAAAGAAACAAACAAAAGCUUCUGAACUGAAAAUUCCAACUGAAAUUUACAAUUCCUUGCACAGAUUCAACAACAAAAUAAAGAAGAUUCAAAAUAAAGAAUAGAUGAACAUGAAGAUAGACCAAUGGAAAUUAUCUAAUCUGAACAAUAGAGGACAUAAAUGUACAGAUUCAAAAAUUCCAGUCACAAGCAGAAGACAGCGAAUCACCCCGCUGCAGACAGGCAGGUCUGCCCACACCCCUACCUAGGUCCCCAGUCAGGCGGAACACAUACCGAAUCAGCCAGCUGCAGACAGGCAGGUCUGUGCACGCCCUACCAAGGUCCUGAGUCCCACGGAAGACACCGAAUCACCCCGCUGCAGACAGGCAGCCACCUAGUUCCACACUACAAAGACGCAGAGGACACCAGACCACCAGACCAAGGUCAGAGACAGAGGAUAUCAGAGAUUCAAAACAUGAGAAGGAUCUGAUACACCCUUCUGGCUUAAAGACAAAGGAAGACACAUGGCUAGAAGUGUAGGUGGCCUCUAGGAGCUGAGAAAGCAUCUAUGACAGCCACGCAGGAAAUGGUGGCCUCGUACUCUGGAGAUUCAGUGGAUUCAGCUCCCAGAUGAGAACUCGGUGCAGCCCAUACAGUGUUGAUUGCUUUGUGAACAGAACCAAGCCAUGCCAGACUUCUGAGCUCCAGAAAUGUGAACUAAUCCCAGGUGUUAUUUCAAGUUCCUAAAUGCAUGAUACGUUGUUACACAGGAGUAGAAAACUAACAUAAUCAUAUAUAGCUUUCCAAAUCCAUGCAGAUAAAUAUUUCUAAUUCUUUUUUAAGACUGCAUAUGUAUUACUUUGUCAUUACUUUAAUGCAUCAAAAUAUAUUCAAAUAUAUUCCUAUUUCUAGAAAUCCACCUGGCUUUUAUUUCUUGUUAUUUUUAAAUAAUCCAGAAAACAUCUUUAUGCAUUUGCCUUGAUAUAUCUAUCCUAUUUCCCCCCAUAAGACAGAUUGUUA
This 1376-nucleotide long non-coding RNA is filed under the name Heterocephalus glaber (naked mole-rat). Its description in RNAcentral is "lncRNA (ENSHGLG00000032579.1)". The record is from RNAcentral. Lineage: Eukaryota; Metazoa; Chordata; Mammalia; Rodentia; Bathyergidae.